UACGGAGGAUGCAAGCGUUAUCCGGAUUUAUUGGGUUUAAAGGGUGCGCAGGUUGUUUGAUAAGUCAGUGGUGAAAGUCUGUCGCUUAACGGUAGGAUUGCCAUUGAUACUGUUGGACUUGAAUAUGGAUGAGGUAGGCGGAAUGUGUAGUGUAGCGGUGAAAUGCGUAGAUAUAUGGAGGAACACCAGUGGCGAAGGCGACUCUCUGGUCUGUAACUGACGCUGAGGCUCGAAAGCGUGGGGAUCAAACAGGAUUAGA
RNAcentral lists this ribosomal RNA (259 nucleotides) under uncultured prokaryote. RNAcentral's name for it is "partial 16S ribosomal RNA". It matches the Rfam family "Bacterial small subunit ribosomal RNA", at positions 524 to 782 of the family's 1533-position model. The record is from RNAcentral.